Melospiza melodia melodia is the source of this 548-nucleotide long non-coding RNA. RefSeq lists it as uncharacterized. Lineage: Eukaryota; Metazoa; Chordata; Aves; Passeriformes; Passerellidae. The record is from RefSeq and is a predicted model, not a curated record. The transcript is spliced from 2 exons.
UGCAGAACUCACCUGGAAUUUGACACCAAACCACGCUCGCCAUGGGGUCUGUGGGUGACCUCUGUCCUGAGGGAUGAAUUUGGGGAUAUUUGGUUAAUUCAGGUUUGAUAAAAAGGGAAAAGAGCUCAAAAAUAGGAAUUUUUGGGGAUGAAGACACAUAAGGAAUCUGGGGAGAUUUGGGAUCUGAGGGAUUCAUCCUCACUUACCCCUAAUUUCACCCUUUCCUGCCCUCGUUUAUCCCCCAUCCCAAAUUUAUCCCUCAAUUCCCUCCCAACCCUCACUCCCCUUUCCAUUUUAAUCCCCCAAACCUCCUCCACCCCUUCCUCCCCAUUUCCCUUUCCAUUCUCCAUCUUCUCAUCCCUUUCCAUGGAAAGGUUGAGGUGGGAAAAAGAACUUUGGGAUCAUCAAAUCCAACCUGGUCACCCCCGAACGGUCCCCAUGUGCCACAUCCAGGCUUUUUUUGGGAUAAUUCCAGGACAGCAAUUCCACAUCUCAGGGUGGGACAACACUUUCCAGGAAUUUUCCUCAAUAAAUCUUCCCUGAUCCAA